AUUGAACGCUGGCGGCAUGCCUUACACAUGCAAGUCGAACGGUAACAGGUCUUCGGAUGCUGACGAGUGGCGAACGGGUGAGUAAUACAUCGGAACGUGCCCGAUCGUGGGGGAUAACGAAGCGAAAGCUUUGCUAAUACCGCAUACGAUCUACGGAUGAAAGCAGGGGACCGCAAGGCCUUGCGCGAACGGAGCGGCCGAUGGCAGAUUAGGUAGUUGGUGGGAUAAAAGCUUACCAAGCCGACGAUCUGUAGCUGGUCUGAGAGGACGACCAGCCAAAAUGGGACUGAGACACGGCCCAGAUGCGUACGGGAGGCAGCAGUGGAGAAUUUUGGACAAUGGGCGAAAGCCUGAUCCAGCCAUGCCGCGUGCAGGAUGAAGGCCUUCGGGUUGUAAACUGCUUUUGUACGGAACGAAAAGACUCUGGUUAAUACCUGGUGUCCAUGACGGUACCGUAAGAAUAAGCACCGGCUAACUACGUGCCAGCCGCCGCCGUAA
RNAcentral lists this ribosomal RNA (498 nucleotides) under uncultured bacterium. Its description in RNAcentral is "partial 16S ribosomal RNA". It matches the Rfam family "Bacterial small subunit ribosomal RNA", at positions 30 to 523 of the family's 1533-position model. The record is from RNAcentral.